AUGCACGCUGGCGGCGUGCCUAAUACAUGCAAGUCGAGCGAACAGACGAGGAGCUUGCUCCUCUGACGUUAGCGGCGGACGGGUGAGUAACACGUGGAUAACCUACCUAUAAGACUGGGAUAACUUCGGGAAACCGGAGCUAAUACCGGAUAAUAUAUUUAACCGCAUGGUUCAAUAGUGAAAGACGGUUUUGCUGUCACUUAUAGAUGGAUCCGCGCCGCAUUAGCUAGUUGGUAAGGUAACGGCUUACCAAGGCAACGAUGCGUAGCCGACCUGAGAGGGUGAUCGGCCACACUGGAACUGAGACACGGUCCAGACUCCUACGGGAGGCAGCAGUAGGGAAUCUUCCGCAAUGGGCGAAAGCCUGACGGAGCAACGCCGCGUGAGUGAUGAAGGUCUUCGGAUCGUAAAACUCUGUUAUUAGGGAAGAACAAAUGUGUAAGUAACUAUGCACGUCUUGACGGUACCUAAUCAGAAAGCCACGGCUAACUACGUG
This 496-nucleotide ribosomal RNA is filed under the name uncultured bacterium. RNAcentral's name for it is "partial 16S ribosomal RNA". It matches the Rfam family "Bacterial small subunit ribosomal RNA", at positions 29 to 507 of the family's 1533-position model. The record is from RNAcentral.